UGGGGAAUUUUGCACAAUGGGGGAAACCCUGAUGCAGCGACGCCGCGUGAUUUAGAAGGCCUUCGGGUUGUAAAAAUCUUUUCUAUGGGAAGAAAAUGACAGUACCAUAGGAAUAAGGACCGGCUAAUUACGUGCCAGCAGCCGCCGUAAUACGUAAGGUCCGAGCGUUGUCCGGAAUCAUUGGGCGUAAAGGGUACGUAGGCGGGUAAGCAAGUUAGAAGUGAAAUCCUAUAGCUCAACUAUAGUAAGCUUUUAAAACUGCUCAUCUUGAGGUAUGGAAGGGAAAGUGGAAUUCCUAGUGUAGCGGUGAAAUGCGCAGAUAUUAGGAGGAAUACCGGUGGCGAAGGCGACUUUCUGGCCAUAACCUGACGCUGAGGUACGAAAGCGUGGGUAGCAAACAGG
RNAcentral lists this ribosomal RNA (402 nucleotides) under bacterium. RNAcentral's name for it is "partial 16S ribosomal RNA". It matches the Rfam family "Bacterial small subunit ribosomal RNA", at positions 355 to 776 of the family's 1533-position model. The record is from RNAcentral.